This 1667-nucleotide ribosomal RNA is filed under the name Salmonella enterica subsp. enterica serovar Berta. RNAcentral describes it as "partial 23S ribosomal RNA". It matches the Rfam family "Bacterial large subunit ribosomal RNA", at positions 1292 to 2925 of the family's 2925-position model. The record is from RNAcentral. Lineage: Bacteria; Pseudomonadati; Pseudomonadota; Gammaproteobacteria; Enterobacterales; Enterobacteriaceae. RNAcentral also lists the same sequence under 1 other name.
GAAUGCUGACAUAAGUAACGAUAAAGCGGGUGAAAAGCCCGCUCGCCGGAAGACCAAGGGUUCCUGUCCAACGUUAAUCGGGGCAGGGUGAGUCGACCCCUAAGGCGAGGCCGAAAGGCGUAGUCGAUGGGAAACGGGUUAAUAUUCCCGUACUUGGUGUUACUGCGAAGGGGGGACGGAGAAGGCUAUGUUGGCCGGGCGACGGUUGUCCCGGUUUAAGCGUGUAGGUGUGUGUUCCAGGUAAAUCCGGUUCACUUUAACACUGAGGCGUGAUGACGAGGCACUACGGUGCUGAAGUAACAAAUGCCCUGCUUCCAGGAAAAGCCUCUAAGCAUCAGGUAACAUCAAAUCGUACCCCAAACCGACACAGGUGGUCAGGUAGAGAAUACCAAGGCGCUUGAGAGAACUCGGGUGAAGGAACUAGGCAAAAUGGUGCCGUAACUUCGGGAGAAGGCACGCUGACACGUAGGUGAAGUGAUUUACUCACGGAGCUGAAGUCAGUCGAAGAUACCAGCUGGCUGCAACUGUUUAUUAAAAACACAGCACUGUGCAAACACGAAAGUGGACGUAUACGGUGUGACGCCUGCCCGGUGCCGGAAGGUUAAUUGAUGGGGUCAGCGCAAGCGAAGCUCCUGAUCGAAGCCCCGGUAAACGGCGGCCGUAACUAUAACGGUCCUAAGGUAGCGAAAUUCCUUGUCGGGUAAGUUCCGACCUGCACGAAUGGCGUAAUGAUGGCCAGGCUGUCUCCACCCGAGACUCAGUGAAAUUGAACUCGCUGUGAAGAUGCAGUGUACCCGCGGCAAGACGGAAAGACCCCGUGAACCUUUACUAUAGCUUGACACUGAACAUUGAGCCUUGAUGUGUAGGAUAGGUGGGAGGCUUUGAAGUGUGGACGCCAGUCUGCAUGGAGCCGACCUUGAAAUACCACCCUUUAAUGUUUGAUGUUCUAACGUGGACCCGUUACCCGGGUUGCGGACAGUGUCUGGUGGGUAGUUUGACUGGGGCGGUCUCCUCCUAAAGAGUAACGGAGGAGCACGAAGGUUGGCUAAUCCUGGUCGGACAUCAGGAGGUUAGUGCAAUGGCAUAAGCCAGCUUGACUGCGAGCGUGACGGCGCGAGCAGGUGCGAAAGCAGGUCAUAGUGAUCCGGUGGUUCUGAAUGGAAGGGCCAUCGCUCAACGGAUAAAAGGUACUCCGGGGAUAACAGGCUGAUACCGCCCAAGAGUUCAUAUCGACGGCGGUGUUUGGCACCUCGAUGUCGGCUCAUCACAUCCUGGGGCUGAAGUAGGUCCCAAGGGUAUGGCUGUUCGCCAUUUAAAGUGGUACGCGAGCUGGGUUUAGAACGUCGUGAGACAGUUCGGUCCCUAUCUGCCGUGGGCGCUGGAGAACUGAGGGGGGCUGCUCCUAGUACGAGAGGACCGGAGUGGACGCAUCACUGGUGUUCGGGUUGUCAUGCCAAUGGCACUGCCCGGUAGCUAAAUGCGGAAGAGAUAAGUGCUGAAAGCAUCUAAGCACGAAACUUGCCCCGAGAUGAGUUCUCCCUGAGACUUUAGGUCUCCUGAAGGAACGUUGAAGACGACGACGUUGAUAGGCCGGGUGUGUAAGCGCAGCGAUGCGUUGAGCUAACCGGUACUAAUGAACCGUGAGGCUUAACCUUACAACGCCGAAG